Molecule: long non-coding RNA, 1224 nt
Filed under: Equus caballus (horse)
Lineage: Eukaryota; Metazoa; Chordata; Mammalia; Perissodactyla; Equidae
Description: lncRNA (ENSECAG00000044171.1)
Source: RNAcentral
CUCUGUGUCCUUCUGAUGCUCUGUGCCCUUGGACCGCCAGGGCUGUAUCUUGUCCAUCUUGGAAACUAAGCCAGAGGGAGAGUGCAGUGUGGUGGUUAGGACUGCAGGCUCUGGUUUGAUGGUCAGACCCCGUCACUUCGUGGCUAUGUAACUUCAUCAAGCUCUGUGUCUGCUCUGAGCCUGUUUCCUCCUGCACAAAAGGGGAUAAUAAUAGAAGCUAUUUCAUAGAGAUGAGAGAAUAAACGUUUUGCUUCGGCACAAGACAAAUUACACGUGGAGUAAACCAAGGACUCAACUCUGUUUUCAUGACUGGUUUUUUGAACAAUAAUCCAUAGAGGCGGGAGAGGAAGGGAUUCAUGCAGCAAAUGAAACAAAGUCCCUGAUGUCUAUUUCUAUUCUGAUAGCACCUCCUGGAAUAUCGGCAACAUUUUAAGUUCCAGCCUAAGCCAUGAAUUCCUUCAGAACAAAUCAAAUGUCUUUAAAGAAUAUUUCUGUUUGAAAAGGAAUUAAGCCCUCCUGAAAGAAUUUUAAAGGCACCUUCUUUCCCUGAAAACAGCAAUAAAAUUUCAUUCGACCUUCUAAAUUUCAUUCUCAAGCCCCAGCAAGGAGCGGGCAGGUAGCUUCGUGAGCGGAUCCAUGGGACACAGGACGUCUUCCUUCGUUUCAGACUCGGCUUCCCCGCGGCCAGAGCCCAGCAGUCAAGCCAGUCAUUUCCAGGCGAAGCAGGACCUACCCUGGGGGCUCACACCCUACAAAUCCCUGAAUCCUCCAUCAUCCCUCCUCCCAGCCUCCUAGUGGGCCGCUCCAAUUUAGGAGGAUUGUAUUGUCUGGAAAUCAACCUGAUCUUAUCUGUAGCCUUUUGUCAAGAGGAAAUUUUUGUUGCCUGUUUUGCUCAGAGGUUGAAACUUGUAGUAUAUUAACUAAUUGCUUGCAUCACUAACACAUGUUCUCUUGUUGGUGUCAUUCAUUUAUACUGUAACAUUUUUGACAUUUUUAGAUUGUCUCUUGGGACUCCUGGGCCUCUUAGCAGUUCCCUCUAUGAAGAGUGUUUGCCUAAUGAUUACUGACUGACAUCUCAAUAACGAGCAGUAGGAGUUGGGUGCAUCUAUUGAAGAGUUCGGGGGGGGGGGGUGUAUGUGUGUGUGUGUUUUAAUUCAUGGUCCACUUUGUCAAGUCAUGUGUGAGCCAUAAUUUAAGCUAAUAAUUACCAGACAUGAAUUCAAU